AUCUGUAUCUCAAACUUGAUGCAGAUGCAAAGGUAAUUGGUUAGGUAUAACUAUAACCUGGCACAAUAUGUCACUCUCCCACGUGGGCAUGAUUAUAAAAUGUUCUUUUUCUUCUUUUUUUUUUUUUUUUUUUUUUGGCAUUGGGAAUAAAAUUGAGUAUCUACCUAUAAAGUUUCCCUUGGCUGACGAAAUAAAUAAACAUGUUGGUCCAUAG
RNAcentral lists this long non-coding RNA (214 nucleotides) under Ricinus communis (castor bean). Its description in RNAcentral is "long non-coding RNA (RCOM_LNC000399)". The record is from RNAcentral. Lineage: Eukaryota; Viridiplantae; Streptophyta; Magnoliopsida; Malpighiales; Euphorbiaceae.